RNAcentral lists this long non-coding RNA (625 nucleotides) under Carica papaya (papaya). RNAcentral describes it as "long non-coding RNA (CPAP_LNC004274)". Lineage: Eukaryota; Viridiplantae; Streptophyta; Magnoliopsida; Brassicales; Caricaceae. The record is from RNAcentral.
UUCCCCCUGGGAAACGCCAGUGUCUCCUGUUUCCAGAAGCAGCUUACUGAAAAGUGCAUCUCAGAGAGAGUCACCCUUAGCCAGGGCUGUCGUGCACCUGUAACCAAACAGGAACUCUUCUUCUGGUGUGAAUGUAAAAUGGCACAAUCAACUUAUGUGCCAACCGGGUAAAAAUACAUAAAUAUAUAUCGAUUGACCCCAUAUAAAUUCUGGCUUUCUUUUUCUUUUCUCAAUUGCUUCUUCUCUUUUGUUGAUUUAACACGACGGUUGGAUUAUUGGGUUCUGUUUGAAGAUUAAGGCCGUGUUUGGUCGAGAUUUUUUUACUUACUGUUUCUUAUCUAGAUUUGUCUCAAAUUUGGUGUCUGACCAAACGAGGUGUUGCGGACUCUUACUACAUGUACAUCCAAUCGUGGUAGUCUUUUGAAUGAUUCGAAAAAGAAAAAAAAAAAGGCCUCCCAUUCAUGAUCCUGUAAAUGGGUUUCUUUCCUCUUUGCAUAUAAAUAUAUAUAUAUAUAUAUAUAAUGUGUGAGUUUAGAGAUCGGAGUGGAUAGAAGAAUGUAUGAUAUUUGGACUUGGGUAUGUUUAGUCUUUCUGGUUUUUCACUGUUGCGAACGUGUAUGAAACU